GACGAACGCUGGCGGCAUGCUUUACACAUGCAAGUCGAACGGUAACAGGGAGCUUGCUCCGCUGACGAGUGGCGAACGGGUGAGUAAUGCAUCGGAACGUACCCAGUCGUGGGGGAUAACGUAGCGAAAGUUACGCUAAUACCGCAUACGUCCUGAGGGAGAAAGCGGGGGACCGUAAGGCCUCGCGCGAUUGGAGCGGCCGAUAUCAGAUUAGCUAGUUGGUGGGGUAAAGGCCUACCAAGGCAACGAUCUGUAGUUGGUCUGAGAGGACGACCAGCCACACUGGGACUGAGACACGGCCCAGACUCCUACGGGAGGCAGCAGUGGGGAAUUUUGGACAAUGGGCGCAAGCCUGAUCCAGCAAUGCCGCGUGCAGGAAGAAGGCC
This 386-nucleotide ribosomal RNA is filed under the name uncultured bacterium. Its description in RNAcentral is "bacterial SSU rRNA". It matches the Rfam family "Bacterial small subunit ribosomal RNA", at positions 28 to 416 of the family's 1533-position model. The record is from RNAcentral.